This 253-nucleotide ribosomal RNA is filed under the name uncultured bacterium. Its description in RNAcentral is "partial 16S ribosomal RNA". It matches the Rfam family "Bacterial small subunit ribosomal RNA", at positions 524 to 776 of the family's 1533-position model. The record is from RNAcentral.
UACGUAGGGGGCAAGCGUUGUCCGGAUUUAUUGGGCGUAAAGAGCGUGUAGGCGGCCAGGUAGGUCUGCUGUGAAAACUCGAGGCUUAACCUCGAGAUGUCGGCGGAAACCAUCUGGCUAGAGUCCGGAAGAGGAGAAUGGAAUUCCCGGUGUAGCGGUGAAAUGCGCAGAUAUCGGGAAGAACACCCGUGGCGAAGGCGGUUCUCUGGGCCUUACCUGACGCUGAGGAGCGAAAGCGUGGGGAGCGAACAGG